RNAcentral lists this unclassified non-coding RNA (931 nucleotides) under Leishmania donovani. Its description in RNAcentral is "gene:LdHU3.06.1470(CDS-product:hypothetical_prote in)". The record is from RNAcentral. Lineage: Eukaryota; Euglenozoa; Kinetoplastea; Trypanosomatida; Trypanosomatidae.
CUCUGCAUCCUGCCAUCACGCACGCGCACUCUGCCGGACUCUCUCCACAUCUCCUCGUAUCGAUUUCUUUCGCAUCGGGUGCUCAGAUAAGCAAUGGGGAGGCGUCGUAAAAGCGGGGGCAGGGGCAACGGCAGCGCCGCCGUAAGCGACAGCCCGCCGGAUAGCGAGACACCGACGCCGACCCCACCGCCAAGGAUUAGCGGCGCUGAAGGGAGGAAUACAACGCGUGCCGUGGCAGAGGCGGAAGCCAAGUCAGCAGAGCCGGUCACAAUCCAGCCCUCUGUAGAGCCGGCGCAGCAGCCAUUAACCGCGGAGGUGGCUACAGCGGAGGCGCCGAACACCUCUGACGCCGUGGCCGCGCUCAACGCGUAUGCCUACCAGAGCUCAGUCAACGAGACCGCCGCCGGUGGCAUUGUGGUCGAGGACGACGACGCUGACGACAAGGAGGCGGCACCGAUGGCGAACUCCUUAGCCGCCCCGGCUUCGCCUCCUCGUGUGUCUGGCAAGAGAGUGGUCUUCAUCACAUCGGCCGCGAGCGCCAGCUCUUCGAAUCACGAGGAGAAGCUGCGCGAGGCUCGAUGUGUGGAGUCGGCGUGCACCGACUGCACCCUCAUGUAAGGGACUCACGCGAUGACGCACGGACAUUCAUCUCUAUUCGGUGGUUUUCAUGGGUGCUCUAGCCGUUCGCUGUGCACUGCGAGGGAGUCGGCGUGGAGGACGUGAUCUCUCCCAGCAGCGCCGGCUCCGUUUGACACGCGGGCAUCUCCCUGAAAGACUACUGAUGUAGAGUGUGCCGUUCUCGGUAUCUCCAGCUGUGCCGCUGCCCCCCACCCCCUCCCCCUCGUGUGGUGUCGUGUGUCUCACCUCCCUUCUUGACGGUUCCUCCCCGCCUGUGUUUUCCUGUCCGUCUUCCGCAGCGACGCUGUCCCAG